CUUCAAUUCCCGUUGAUCCUGCGGGAGGUUGCUGCUAUUCGGAUUCGACUUAGACAUGCAAGUUUACUCUCUUCGGAGGGUGGCAAACUGCUCAGUAACACGUCAAUAAUCUGCCCUUAAGUCUGGAAUAACCUCGGGAAACUGGGGCUAAAACCGGAUAAGAAAAUUCUACUGGAAUGUGUUUUUUCUCAAAGGUAACGCUUAAGGAUGAAUUGGCGUCCGAUUAGGCUGUUGGUAGGGUAGUGGCCUACCAAACCUACAAUCGGUAUGGGUCUUGAGAGAGAUAGCCCAGAGAAGGACACUGAGAAACUGGUCCUAGCCCUACGGGGUGCAGCAGUCGCGAAACCUUUACAAUGCACGCAAGUGUGAUAAGGGAAUCCGAAGUGCUUACACAUAGUGUAGGCUUUUUUCAAUGGUAAAUACAUUGAAGAAUAAGUGGUGGGUAAGACUGGUGCCAGCCGCCGCGGUAACACCAGCGCCACAAGUGGGAACCACGUUUAUUGGGCUUAAAGCGUUCGUAGCAGGUUUGAUAAAUCCUUUGUGAAAUCGUUGCCCUUAAUGCAACGGCGUGCAGAGGACACUGUCAAACUAGGAACCGGGAGGGGUCAGGAGUAUGCCAGGGGGAGCGGUAAAAUGCUAUAAUCCUUGGUGGACUACCUUUGGCGAAGGCGCCUGACUAGAACGGAUUCGACUGUGAGGAACGAAAGCUAGGGGAGCGAUCCGGAUUAGAUACCCGAGUAGUCCUAGCCGUAAACGCUGUGGGCUAGAUAUUGCAUUUUCUCCGUGAAAAUGCAGUGUCGAAGCGAAAGUAUUAAGCCCACCGCCUGGGAAGUAUUGUCGCAAGACCGAAACUUAAAGGAAUUGGCGGGGGAGCACUACAACAGGUGCGGCGUGCGGUUUAAUCUAACUCCACGCAGAGAAUCUCACCAGAAGCGACGGCAGGAUGAAGGUCAGGCUAAUGGUCUUACUUAACGAGCCGAGAGGUAUUGCAUGGCCGCCGUCAGCUCGUACCGUGAGGUGUCCGGUUAAGUCCGGCAACGAGCGAGACCUAUACCUACAAUUGCUAACGAGCUUAGCGAUCGAGCACAUUGUGGGGACUGCCCUUGAAAAGGGGAGGAAGGUGUAGGCAACGGUAGGUCUGUAUGGUCCGAAUCUUCUGGGCUACACGCGCGCAACAAUGGUUGGGACAAUGGGAUGCAACUCCGAAAGGAGAAGCUAAUCCUCUAAACCCAAUCGUAGUACGGAUUGAGGAUUGUAACUCAUCCUCAUGACGCCGGAAUCUGUAGUAAUCGGAUUUUAUCAUAGUCCGGUGAAUACGUCCCUGCUCCUUGCACACACCGCCCGUCAAGCCAGUCGAGCAGGGUCUAGGUGAAGCUUAGCCUAUUAGCUAAGACGAACCUAGGCUCAGUGAGAAGGGUUAAGUCGUCACAAGGUAUCCGUAGGGGAACCUGCGGAUGGAUCACCUCCUU
RNAcentral lists this ribosomal RNA (1469 nucleotides) under Candidatus Woesearchaeota archaeon. RNAcentral's name for it is "bacterial SSU rRNA". It matches the Rfam family "Archaeal small subunit ribosomal RNA". Lineage: Archaea; Nanobdellati; Candidatus Woesearchaeota. The record is from RNAcentral.